AAGAUUUUAAGUUAAUAAAACUAGUUACCUUCAAAGUAAAAAAUAAAAAUUUUUAAAUCUUA
This 62-nucleotide transfer RNA is filed under the name Amblyomma americanum (Lone Star tick). Its description in RNAcentral is "tRNA-Trp". Lineage: Eukaryota; Metazoa; Arthropoda; Arachnida; Ixodida; Ixodidae. The record is from RNAcentral.